RNAcentral lists this long non-coding RNA (212 nucleotides) under Manihot esculenta (cassava). RNAcentral's name for it is "long non-coding RNA (MESC_LNC005431)". Lineage: Eukaryota; Viridiplantae; Streptophyta; Magnoliopsida; Malpighiales; Euphorbiaceae. The record is from RNAcentral.
UAGGAUUUGUCCCUCUCUCUGAGAGAGAUAUCUUCUGGGCCCCUCGAUAAGUGAGACUGAGAAAUGCAUGGCCGUGCUCAAAUGAAUUGAUAGUGUGAUCAAUAUCAUUUGAAUUUAUCAGUCUACUUAGAGAUCGAGAAAUCAUAAGUUUGAACAUUAUAAGUUUGACAUUGACCAUGAUUUAUGUUCAAACUAGAUAUCGUGUGACAAAU